CGAGUGGGAAUUUCGCAUUGUUCAGUGUGUUAAAACUGUGUAAUUAUAUGCUGAUGUCCACGCCUAGAUGGCCAUGUCCACUUCAGGUGUAAUUUAUCUGGAACGGGGAACCUCCUCCCUGCAGUCCCUUUCUCCAAGAAACUUAUUUUCAGUAAAUGAUUAUAUUUAGUUCUUUAGCCUGGAACCCGGGAGUGACUCAAAUCCUAAUGGAUCUGUCUUCUGUUGAUUUUCUUACAUAUUAUCCUCCAUCCUUUUUUGCCACCUGGUUAUUUCCAGCUAGGCUCCCAGCCUGUAGUCUUCGUUCUCUUACUGCUAUAAUUGCCUCCUGGCUGCCUUUCUCUCCGCGCCACCUCUAGACCAAAGGACUCAUUCCCUUUAUGAUGAAAUUUCCGAUUACCUUCAUUGAGAUACAACUUCUUCUUUAAGAUGUGUUUAUCCUGGAAUCAUUCUUCUAAUACUGCUUUUAUUUUUUCUUUUCCCCAGAUAUCCCAGAAGAAACUGAAGAAACAAAAACUUAUGGCCCGGGAAUAAAUGCCGCA
Molecule: long non-coding RNA, 539 nt
Filed under: Bos taurus (domestic cattle)
Lineage: Eukaryota; Metazoa; Chordata; Mammalia; Artiodactyla; Bovidae
Description: long non-coding RNA NONBTAT015224
Source: RNAcentral